GGUCCCGGGCCCAGCCCCACAGGAGCUCCCGAGGCCCCGCGGACGGUCGCGACAGCCCCAACUUCCCGGAAAGAAUCUUCUGGAAUUCUGAAGCCUCCAUUCAAUAGACUUGUUCAAGUCGGCAUCUACAUAAGGGAAGCAUCUGUCUGGGAAGAGAGAGACAGCAUAAGAAAUCAACAAUGCCUUCCAAAAAUAAAAUAUUCAUUCAUGGAAGCAUCAAUAACAUAUUCCAAGAUAAUUUCCGCAAAGUGCACUGUAACACUGUAAACAUAAUUUUAACAAAUAAAGAAGACCAAGAUGUAAGCACACCUGAGCAGAUCCUUUUCCAAGUAUCCUGAUGUCUCCAAGGGCUGUUCAGAUUCCAAAGAGAACUAUCUACAAGUUAAUCUCUGUUACUGGAGUCAUUCAUUCUCCGUAGUAAUCUGCUCCACAGAAUUCCUCUUCUCUUCCCUCCCAUAACCUGUUUUACCAGGAUCCAAGCCUCCAUUCUUUCUGUAACCUCAUUGGGAAGUU
RNAcentral lists this long non-coding RNA (513 nucleotides) under Homo sapiens (human). RNAcentral describes it as "long non-coding RNA NONHSAT182238.1". The record is from RNAcentral. Lineage: Eukaryota; Metazoa; Chordata; Mammalia; Primates; Hominidae.